GCCAGGCGUGGUGGUGCACGCCUGUAAUCCCAGCUACUCGGGAGGCUGAGGCAGGAGAAUCGCUUGAACCCGGGAGGCGGAGGUUGCAGUGAGCCAAGAUCAUGCCACUGCACUCCAGCCUGGGCAACAAGAGCGAAAUUCUGUCUCAA
This 149-nucleotide small RNA is filed under the name Macaca fascicularis (crab-eating macaque). RNAcentral's name for it is "Metazoan signal recognition particle RNA (ENSMFAG00000053779.1)". Lineage: Eukaryota; Metazoa; Chordata; Mammalia; Primates; Cercopithecidae. RNAcentral also lists the same sequence under 1 other name. The record is from Rfam by way of RNAcentral.